UGCCCCUGACUCUGGAAUAACCGUGGGAAACGACGGCUAAUACCGGAUAUGAGACGUCCACGCAUGUGAGCGUCUGGAAAGAUUUAUCGGUCUGGGAUGGACUCGCGGCCUAUCAGCUUGUUGGUGGGGUAAUGGCCCACCAAGGCGACGACGGGUAGCCGGCCUGAGAGGGCGACCGGCCACACUGGGACUGAGAUACGGCCCAGACUCCUACGGGAGGCAGCAGUGGGGAAUAUUGCACAAUGGGCGCAAGCUGAUGCAGCGACGCCGCGUGGGGGGAUGAAGGCCUUCGGGUUGUAAACCCUUUCAGCAGGGAAGAAGCGAAAGUGACGGUACCUGCAGAAGAAGCGCCGGCUAACUACGUGCCAGCAGCCGCGGUAAUACGUAGGGCGCAAGCGUUGUCCGGAAUUAUUGGGCGUAAAGAGCUCGUAGGCGGUUUGUCGCGUCUGCUGUGAAAACCCGAGGCUCAACCUCGGGCUUGCAGUGGGUACGGGCAGACUAGAGUGCGGUAGGGGUGACUGGAAUUCCUGGUGUAGCGGUGGAAUGCGCAGAUAUCAGGAGGAACACCGAUGGCGAAGGCAGGUCACUGGGCCGCAACUGACGCUGAGGAGCGAAAGCAUGGGGAGCGAACAGGAUUAGAUACCCUGGUAGUCCAUGCCGUAAACGUUGGGCACUAGGUGUGGGGCUCAUUCCACGAGUUCCGUGCCGCAGCAAACGCAUUAAGUGCCCCGCCUGGGGAGUACGGCCGCAAGGCUAAAACUCAAAGGAAUUGACGGGGGCCCGCACAAGCGGCGGAGCAUGCGGAUUAAUUCGAUGCAACGCGAAGAACCUUACCAAGGCUUGACAUACACCGGAAAAGUGCAGAGAUGUGCUCCCCGCAAGGUCGGUGUACAGGUGGUGCAUGGUUGUCGUCAGCUCGUGUCGUGAGAUGUUGGGUUAAGUCCCGCAACGAGCGCAACCCUCGUCCUAUGUUGCCAGCACGUUAUGGUGGGGACUCAUAGGAGACUGCCGGGGUCAACUCGGAGGAAGGUGGGGAUGACGUCAAAUCAUCAUGCCCCUUAUGUCUUGGGCUUCACGCAUGCUACAAUGGCCGGUACAAAGGGCUGCGAUACCGCAAGGUGGAGCGAAUCCCAAAAAGCCGGUCUCAGUUCGGAUUGGGGUCUGCAACUCGACCCCAUGAAGUCGGAGUCGCUAGUAAUCGCAGAUCAGCAACGCUGCGGUGAAUACGUUCCCGGGCCUUGUACACACCG
RNAcentral lists this ribosomal RNA (1250 nucleotides) under Cellulomonadaceae str. WB16. Its description in RNAcentral is "bacterial SSU rRNA". It matches the Rfam family "Bacterial small subunit ribosomal RNA", at positions 127 to 1392 of the family's 1533-position model. Lineage: Bacteria; Bacillati; Actinomycetota; Actinomycetes; Micrococcales; Cellulomonadaceae. The record is from RNAcentral.